RNAcentral lists this ribosomal RNA (515 nucleotides) under uncultured bacterium. RNAcentral's name for it is "partial 16S ribosomal RNA". It matches the Rfam family "Bacterial small subunit ribosomal RNA", at positions 28 to 523 of the family's 1533-position model. The record is from RNAcentral.
GAUGAACGCUGGCGGCGUGCCUAAUACAUGCAAGUCGAGCGAAUGGAUUAAGAGCUUGCUCUUAUGAAGUUAGCGGCGGACGGGUGAGUAACACGUGGGUAACCUGCCCAUAAGACUGGGAUAACUCCGGGAAACCGGGGCUAAUACCGGAUAAUAUUUUGAACUGCAUGGUUCAAAAUUGAAAGGCGGCUUCGGCUGUCACUUAUGGAUGGACCCGCGUCGCAUUAGCUAGUUGGUGAGGUAACGGCUCACCAAGGCAACGAUGCGUAGCCGACCGGGGAGGGUGAUCGGCCACAGUGGGACUGAGACACGGCCCAGACUCCUACGGGAGGCAGCAGUAGGGAAUCUUCCGCAGUGGACGAAAGUCUGACGGAGCAACGCCGCGUGGGUGAUGAAGGCUUUCGGGUCGUAAAACUCUGUUGUUAGGGAAGAACAAGUGCUAGUUGAAUAAGCUGGCACCUUGACGGUACCUAACCAGAAAGCCACGGCUAACUACGUGCCAGCCGCCGCGGUAA